UGCAUAAAGUUGUCGCUUUUGAAAAAGUCAAAUUUGCAGCACACAUUAGAGUGUUUAAUGAUUUAACUGGACCCCUCCCCUCCUCCUGCCUUUUCCAUCAGCCUGUCCAUUCAUUUAGCAGUCUGUCCCAACGUCCUCUUCCAAAUGUGUUAAUUCGGCUGCAAAACGCUGAGUCAAGAAGGCGUCACAUUAAAUACAGUCUGGUAGUGGAGCGGAGCCAUGUUCGCAAGCCAGACAUGACUCACCGUCCUUGAACUAACAUCAAGCCAAAAGCUUGAUUCCAGAACAUGGAAUUACAGUAAUCCUGAGCCCCUUUCGCAAGGAUUUGGGGGAAAUUUUAAACAGCGCUGACAGAAAAAUUUCCUCGACUCUUCUUCUCAGCCUCGGAAUCUCACAGCUCUGCUGAAUGUUAAUUUCUGUGACGUAUUGAGCCACCAUGAAGACAGACAGCGUGGUGAAGUUCUCGGAGAUGGCAGCAAUGUGUGUGUACAUCCUCUCGACCAGCCGGGCGCACUGCAGUUGUAAGGCAGUCUUUAAAAAAGGAGUCCACGCUUGGUUGAACAAGGCAGUUGAGCAAGGCCCUGAGCGUCAGGUGAUGACAUCACCAACUCAACUGCUUUCUGCCAGGACUCCAACAUCUCAACACUCUGACCUAUACACCUUACCACUUGAGCUCACUUUCUGUUCCGCUUAACCUGCAUUGUGCAGUCCAGUCACAUCCUCCUCCUCUGUUUUCCUGCUUGCCCCCUCAGACUGCAGUCACGUUUACAUCACCAAACCUUUUCUUCCCUUUCUGCAUCACAACACUCUCUGACAGUCUCCCCAGGCAGUCGUUCAACUUUAAAAACAUCUGAUGUGACUUAGCAGGUUACUGCCUGCUUUAAUUCCCUCCAGCUGCACUGUUUAUUAAAGAGGUCCAAACAGGGAAAUACUUACCAUAGCCACAAAAUACCUGUACAUGAAUUUGUGUUGAAUCAUCAAGAUCAUCAAUGUCACAAAAACGUAUUUAUAAAGAUCCGAAUUGAGUGAAAUUGGAUCAUUUCCUGUUUGGGAAUCUCAACAAUAAAAGUGACAACAUUGA
Long non-coding RNA from Syngnathus typhle (broad-nosed pipefish), 1081 nucleotides. RefSeq lists it as uncharacterized. NCBI's taxonomy places the organism in Eukaryota, Metazoa, Chordata, Actinopteri, Syngnathiformes, Syngnathidae. The record is from RefSeq and is a predicted model, not a curated record. The transcript is spliced from 3 exons.